RNAcentral lists this ribosomal RNA (322 nucleotides) under uncultured eukaryote. RNAcentral describes it as "partial 18S ribosomal RNA". It matches the Rfam family "Eukaryotic small subunit ribosomal RNA", at positions 1470 to 1796 of the family's 1831-position model. The record is from RNAcentral.
CCCUUAGAUGUUCUGGGCCGCACGCGUGCUACACUGAGUGGAUCAGCGGGUCAGGUUACGCGAAAGCGUUUCCUAAUCUUUAAAUCCGCUCGUGAUGGGGAUUGACGGUUGCAAUUUUCUGUCAUGAACGAGGAAUACCUUGUAAGCGCGGGUCAUCAUCCCGCGCUGAAUACGUCCCUGCCCUUUGUACACACCGCCCGUCGCUCCUACCGAUUGAGUGGUCCGGUGAGGCUUUGGGAUCUGAGCGGAAAGAGCGUUUCGCUGUUUCUGCUCGGAAAACUCAGUCGAACCUUAUCAUUUAGAGGAAGGAGAAGUCGUAACA